Molecule: long non-coding RNA, 1062 nt
Filed under: Vulpes vulpes (red fox)
Lineage: Eukaryota; Metazoa; Chordata; Mammalia; Carnivora; Canidae
Description: lncRNA (ENSVVUG00000014125.1)
Source: RNAcentral
GUUUUCUACUCCUUUUAUUAAAUUUGCCUCAUUAGUGUUGUCUCCUUUGAGUAGAUCAUCUCUUUCUUAGUGGGGUUUUGAUGACUACAACCACAAAACAAGAAAGUGAGAACUCAGGAAACACAGCAGAAGGAUGGCGUAGGAACUAGAAGAAAAUGUGAUAAAUAUUUGGUGUCAUGAGAUGAAGAAAAUCAACCAUAAUGAGGAAAGAAGAUCCUGAUAGUCUGUGGGCAAUUGCAUCAAUUUGCCUUUCCAGGAGGACAACCCUGCAUACAAUUAAAGUCCCAAGUAAUCAAGAGAAUGAAGAGUUUUUAACAGAAAAUGGAUGUGUAGCCUAUGUAAAAUCUAUAAGCCAAACCAACCUUUGACAUUUUAAACGGAAAUUGUGUAAAGAACUGACUGAAAGAUAGACUUAAGUUUUCUCCUCCUCACACAAAAGUUGAAAAGUGACUGAUGCCAUCAAUGGUUGUCUGGUUGUUUUAUUAUGUGCAAUUAAAAAUCAGAACUGAUUCGACUGGCAGUUUUCACAUUAUGUAAACACAAUGGAAGGGGACAUAAUUCCAAUUGCUCCCUUCUGGAAUGUUUUAUGCCUACAGGCACAAGGAAGCUGGACCUUGGACAGCACAACUGCUAUUUGCCAAGUUGAGGAAAAGAAAAAAAAAAUGACUGUCUACCAGGAGUUGGAGCAGUUUUUAGAUGCUGUCAUCCUUAUUAUGCACCCUUGUGGAUUUGGAGGAGGUGGUGGGGUUCUUGACGCACAUCAUUUGCUUCCACAAAUCUCCAAAGUGAUGUCUCCUUUCCUAGAGCUGCUUUCCCAGCUGGCUCCAAUGGUUGAAGUUAAAAGGUUUAAAAAUCCCAUUAAUUUGGCAGCCUGGGUGGCUCAGCGGUUUAGCUCCACCUUCAGCCCAGGGCAUGAUCCUGGAGACCUGGGAUUGAGUCCCACAUCCAGUUCCCUGCAUGGAACCUGCUUCUCCCUCUGCCUGUGUCUCUGCCUCUCUCUCUCUCUCUGUCUCUCAUGAAUAAAUAAAUAAAAUCUUAAAAAAAAAAUAAAAAUAAAAACCC